Molecule: ribosomal RNA, 497 nt
Filed under: uncultured bacterium
Lineage: Bacteria
Description: partial 16S ribosomal RNA
Rfam family: Bacterial small subunit ribosomal RNA
Source: RNAcentral
GAUGAACGCUGGCGGCGUGCCUAAUACAUGCAAGUCGAGCGAACAGAUGAGGAGCUUGCUCCUCUGACGUUAGCGGCGGACGGGUGAGUAACACGUGGAUAACCUACCUAUAAGACUGGGAUAACUUCGGGAAACCGGAGCUAAUACCGGAUAAUAUAUUGAACCGCAUGGUUCAAUAGUGAAAGACGGUUUUGCUGUCACUUAUAGAUGGAUCCGCGCCGCAUUAGCUAGUUGGUAAGGUAACGGCUUACCAAGGCAACGAUGCGUAGCCGACCUGAGAGGGUGAUCGGCCACACGGGAACGGAGACACGGUCCAGACUCCUACGGGAGGCAGCAGUAGGGAAUCUUCCGCAAUGGGCGAAAGCCUGACGGAGCAACGCCGCGUGAGUGAUGAAGGUCUUCGGAUCGUAAAACUCUGUUAUUAGGGAAGAACAAAUGUGUAAGUAACUAUGCACGUCUUGACGGUACCUAAUCAGAAAGCCACGGCUAACUCCGUG